GACAGAGGCCUCGAGCGUUAGGCGGAAUCACUGGGCUUAAAGCGUGUGUAGGCGGGCCCGUAAGUGUCUUGUGAAAUCCCACCGCUCACCGGUGGAACGGCUGGGCAUACUGGCGACCUUGAGAGGCCUAGGGGCAGACGGAACAAGCGGUGGAGCGGUGAAAUGCGUAGAUAUCGCUUGGAACGCCGACGGCGAAAGCAGUCUGCUGGGGGACUUCUGACGCUGAGACACGAAAGCCAGGGGAGCGAACGGG
RNAcentral lists this ribosomal RNA (253 nucleotides) under uncultured bacterium. RNAcentral's name for it is "partial 16S ribosomal RNA". It matches the Rfam family "Bacterial small subunit ribosomal RNA", at positions 524 to 776 of the family's 1533-position model. The record is from RNAcentral.